This 481-nucleotide ribosomal RNA is filed under the name uncultured bacterium. RNAcentral describes it as "partial 16S ribosomal RNA". It matches the Rfam family "Bacterial small subunit ribosomal RNA", at positions 28 to 507 of the family's 1533-position model. The record is from RNAcentral.
GAUGAACGCUGGCGGCGUGCUUAACACAUGCAAGUCGAACGAAGCACUUUAUUUGAUUUCCUUCUGGACUGAUUAUUUUGUGACUGAGUGGCGGAUGGGUGAGUAACGCGUGGGUAAUCUGCCUUGUACAGGGGGAUAACAGUUGGAAACGGCUGCUAAUACCGCAUAAGCGCACGGCAUCGCAUGAUGCAGUGUGAAAAACUCCGGUGGUAUAAGAUGGACCUGCUUUGGAUUAGCUAGUUGGUGAGGUAACGGCCCACCAAGCUGACGAUCCAUAGCCGGCAAGAGAGGGAGACCGGAGACAUUGGGGGUGAGACACGGAGGGAACUACUGCGGAAGGCAGCAAUGGGGAAUAAUGCACGAUGGGGGAGAGCAUGAUGCAGCGACGCCGCGUGAGCGAAGAAGUAGUGCGGUAUGUAAAGCUCUAUCAGAAGGGAAGAUAAUGACGGUACCUGACUAAGAAGCACCGGCUAAAUACGUG